CACAUGUGGCUGGAGUGCAACAAGAUCUGCACACAGAUGGAGGCCACUGCCCCUUUGGUCGUGGUAGCAAACACUGAAGUAAACUGCAGACUGUCCUAGUUAGACCUGAUGCAUAGACCUCUGCACAUGAAAAGGACAUUGAAAGCUGCAGGGAUUAUGGAUGAAUGUUGCUUUGCCUUUGUUGACAUGGUUCUCUUCAGGUAUUUCCAGCCUACCUGAUGAAAGUCCCAAGAGUUCUCUUACAGGGCUAGCAGAGAUGCAGAGAGGAGGAAGUCUGGGGAGCUUUUCUGGGGAGCUCUUCCAGGGACUUCAGAAUGAUGCUGACUUCUGGAUGACAAUUAGACAUCCAGCAUAUGUUGCUGCUGAUUUGGUGUUCCUGCUGCAUAACCCGAAA
Long non-coding RNA from Passer domesticus (house sparrow), 394 nucleotides. RefSeq lists it as uncharacterized. Lineage: Eukaryota; Metazoa; Chordata; Aves; Passeriformes; Passeridae. The transcript has 3 exons. The record is from RefSeq and is a predicted model, not a curated record.